CGAAGGAUGCAAGCGUUAUCCGGAUUCAUUGGGUUUAAAGGGUGCGUAGGCGGACUGAUAAGUCAGUGGUGAAAUCUCUUUGCUUAACAAAGAAACUGCCAUUGAUACUGUCGGUCUAGAGUAUAGAUGACGUUGGCGGAAUAUGACAUGUAGUGGUGAAAUACUUAGAUAUGUCAUAGAACACCGAUUGCGAAGGCAGCUAACGAAACUAUAACUGACGCUGAGGCACGAAAGUGCGGGGAUCAAACAGGAUUAGAUACCCUGGUAGUCCGCACCGUAAACGAUGAUUACUCGUUGUUGGCGAUAUGACAGUCAGCGACCAAGCGAAAGCGAUAAGUAAUCCACCUGGGGAGUACGCCGGCAACGGUG
RNAcentral lists this ribosomal RNA (369 nucleotides) under uncultured organism. RNAcentral's name for it is "bacterial SSU rRNA". It matches the Rfam family "Bacterial small subunit ribosomal RNA", at positions 526 to 896 of the family's 1533-position model. The record is from RNAcentral.